AGUGAACGCUGGCGGUAGGCCUAACACAUGCAAGUCGAACGGCAGCACAGUAAGAGCUUGCUCUUACGGGUGGCGAGUGGCGGACGGGUGAGGAAUACAUCGGAAUCUACUCUUUCGCGGGGGAUAACGUAGGGAAACUUACGCUAAUACCGCAUACGACCUACGGGUGAAAGCAGGGGAUCUUCGGACCUUGCGCGAUUGAAUGAGCCGAUGUUGGAUUAGCUAGUUGGCGGGGUAAAGGCCCACCAAGGCGACGAUCCGUAGCUGGUCUGAGAGGAUGAUCAGCCACACUGGAACUGAGACACGGUCCAGACUCCUACGGGAGGCAGCAGUGGGGAAUAUUGGACAAUGGGCGCAAGCCUGAUCCAGCCAUACCGCGUGGGUGAAGAAGGCCUUCGGGUUGUAAAGCCCUUUUGUUGGGAAAGAAAAGCAGCAGGUUAAUACCCCGCUGUUCUGACGGUACCCAAAGAAUAAGCACCGGCUAACUUCGUG
This 492-nucleotide ribosomal RNA is filed under the name uncultured bacterium. RNAcentral's name for it is "partial 16S ribosomal RNA". It matches the Rfam family "Bacterial small subunit ribosomal RNA", at positions 29 to 507 of the family's 1533-position model. The record is from RNAcentral.